RNAcentral lists this unclassified non-coding RNA (184 nucleotides) under soil metagenome. RNAcentral's name for it is "partial internal transcribed spacer 1". The record is from RNAcentral.
CAGAGUUGUAAAACUCCCUAAACCCAUCGCUAUCUAUCCUAUAUCGUUGCCUCGGCGCUGGCGGCCCGAGGCCGCGGGCCCGCCGAUCCUGCGGUCUCCGCGCGUCGAGGCUGCCCGCCGGAGGGCCGAAACCACAAACUCUUGAUUUUAUGUGAACUCUCUGAGUAAAAGACUUAAAUAGUCA